CUACUAGAAGGUUGCCUACCACUUACCUAGAUCCUAGUCACUUUUGUCCAUUCUCCCCACUUAAUGUCGACAUUAAGAAUUUAGCAUAAACUAUGGCGAAUCAUUUGAAUCCAUACCUACGCUCUUUCAUUCACCUAUAUCAAGUGGGAUUUAUUCCCAAUAGAAAGGCCAUGGAUAAUACCAUAGGGCUAUCGACUUCAUCUGGCUUGCUUCUUCCAAAAUUUUGAUGGCUG
Non-coding RNA from Pelobates cultripes (western spadefoot toad), 233 nucleotides. Lineage: Eukaryota; Metazoa; Chordata; Amphibia; Anura; Pelobatidae. The record is from the annotation of a GenBank genome assembly.